This is a long non-coding RNA of Mus musculus (house mouse), 813 nucleotides long. RefSeq annotates it as predicted gene, 33892. Lineage: Eukaryota; Metazoa; Chordata; Mammalia; Rodentia; Muridae. The transcript has 3 exons. The record is from RefSeq and is a predicted model, not a curated record.
ACACUCUUGGAUCUCAGAGCUGACUUACUUCCCACAGGCAUGUUCUGAAUCAGAGCCAACUCCAGUAUAUAAACAAAUAGCUUUGUAGAUGCUGCUUUUAAUCAGCAUGGCAAACACAAUUCAUGGAAGGUCAAGGCAAUUUUCCAUUUGUGCUGCAACUGCACAUUCCUACCUGCUGGGAAGAAGACCCAAGCUUCCUGUGGGUUGUGUUGAUUCAGCUUGGCCAUCUGAAGUAACCCAGCGUCAACGGUUGGAAUGGAAUCCUGCUGCUUCGGUCAGGGGCUCUGCUGGUGGCACUUUGUGGAUCCUUGGAGAAACCAGGCAUGUAAGUGGUACACAGAUGUAUGUGCAGGCAAAACACCCAAACACAUAAAAUACAAAAUAAUAAAGUAAGUAAAAGCUUUAAAAAGCGCCUGUUCACGAUAAAAUAUGUCUCAAUCAAGCUAAUUACCACACAUGACCAAGCUCAGUGAAUGUUAUCAAUCUUGGCAAGCCCGUUCCCUGGGCUGUAGUUUGGCGAGAUGCUUGUAGGGCCAGUGGGAUCUUCCAUUCACUCACUCAUGCACAUUACCGAUUCCAUCACAAUGCACUGUGUGGCCUGAGAAGAGCCACAGGUACACAGCAUUUACCUACACUGCACUGUACUCUGCUUUCACAUUAUAAACAUGAGGGUGGGGGAUCAUGUCACAUCAACGCUUGCCAUGCCCCUCCCAAAACUGACCAGCAGGGUGGAGCCAUCCUCUCCCUCCUGUGAUUCUGAAGCUUCAGGAGAAAGGAGACCUGAACACACUGAAGAGGCAUUGCGCCGUUCCC